CCUACGGGAGGCAGCAGUGAGGAAUAUUGGUCAAUGGACGAGAGUCUGAACCAGCCAAGUAGCGUGAAGGAUGACUGCCCUAUGGGUUGUAAACUUCUUUUAUAUGGGAAUAAAAUGUUCCACGUGUGGGAUUUUGUAUGUAUCAUAUGAAUAAGGAUCGGCUAACUCCGUGCCAGCAGCCGCGGUAAUACGGAGGAUCCGAGCGUUAUCCGGAUUUAUUGGGUUUAAAGGGAGCGUAGGUGGAUUGUUAAGUCAGUUGUGAAAGUUUGCGGCUCAACCGUAAAAUUGCAGUUGAAACUGGCAGUCUUGAGUACAGUAGAGGUGGGCGGAAUUCGUGGUGUAGCGGUGAAAUGCUUAGAUAUCACGAAGAACUCCGAUUGCGAAGGCAGUUCACUAGACUGCAACUGACACUGAGGCUCGAAAGUGUGGGUAUCAAACAGGAUUAGAUACCCCUGUAGUC
RNAcentral lists this ribosomal RNA (460 nucleotides) under uncultured bacterium. Its description in RNAcentral is "partial 16S ribosomal RNA". It matches the Rfam family "Bacterial small subunit ribosomal RNA", at positions 338 to 795 of the family's 1533-position model. The record is from RNAcentral.